This 189-nucleotide non-coding RNA is filed under the name Candidatus Giovannonibacteria bacterium GW2011_GWB1_47_6b. RNAcentral's name for it is "self-splicing intron". It matches the Rfam family "Group I catalytic intron". From Rfam's summary of the family: Group I catalytic introns are large self-splicing ribozymes. They catalyse their own excision from mRNA, tRNA and rRNA precursors in a wide range of organisms. The core secondary structure consists of 9 paired regions (P1-P9). The record is from RNAcentral. Lineage: Bacteria; Candidatus Giovannoniibacteriota. RNAcentral also lists the same sequence under 1 other name.
GACAAGACAUUAGUCACGGCGGCCAUAGAAAGUAAUUUCUAUGAUCCAUGCUAACUAAUAUCGGUGGAAUCCUAUGUGGACAACACCGAGGAAAUUUCGAUAUCUAUCGAAAGUCCGUAGAGACUAGACGUUAGCCUCCUUAUAGAAAUAAGGAUGAAGAUAUAGUCCAAUGCACGUAGUAAUACGUGG